Molecule: transfer RNA, 88 nt
Filed under: Taphrina deformans PYCC 5710
Lineage: Eukaryota; Fungi; Ascomycota; Taphrinomycetes; Taphrinales; Taphrinaceae
Rfam family: tRNA
About the family: Transfer RNA (tRNA) molecules are approximately 80 nucleotides in length.
Source: Rfam by way of RNAcentral
GCCCAUAUAGUUCAGUGGUAGACCGCCUCACUCGUAGAUGGUAUCAUCAGACAUGAGGAAGUCCGCCGUUCGAUCCGGCGUGUGGGCA